GAGGAAGAGCAGGGGGAGCGGGAGAGUACUGAGAGAAAAAGACGGAAGGUCGUGGAAAAACGCUAUGUUGGGCGAGGAGUAGUAGCUGGGAUGAGGAGAGGAGAGAGACAGGCUGCGUUACCGAAUGGGCAGUCUGUUAUCUUAAAGGUCUGGCUCUACUGCCUAGGCUGGAGUGCAGUGGCACGAUCUGGGCUUACUGCAGCCUCCACAUCCCUUCAAGCAAUCCUGCCUCCACCUCCCUAGAUGCUGGGACCACAGAUCUUUCCAACGCAUUAGAAAGAGAAUUCUCAUUUGGCUUCUCUCCAUCUAGUCUGGCUCCAUCAGAGAUCUGACUGUUUUCUUCCUAAAUGACUCUGCUAGAAGGUCACUAUAUAAUCAGCCUGGAGGAUGUCCUGAUUUCAUCUUCAUUUAAUUCUUUUUGAUUGACUACUACACUGGAGUGUUUGUUUAUUCAUCUGAGCAAGAUAUUAAAAGUUCCUUUAAAUAGAUGACAUUUAAAAGGCAUAAAUUGGCUUCUCUGACCACCCUCACCCUUCAACUGUCAGCGUAUCCUCCUCAUUCUUCUUGGAUGCAGGACAAGAGUUCAGCCCCUGCUGAAGGUGAUAAUGAGCACUAAAAUUUUCAGAAGUAAGAACAGAAGUCAUCACAACCUUUGUUCUCUGUAGAUCCACCAAUCUGUACUCCAUCCAGAGCAUGUUAGAAGACUUCGGUGAACACAGGACCAAACUCCCUACUUCUCUUUUCUCCUUUUAAACCUCUGUAGGAAUACAGACAAUUUUAGAAAUGAGAAUAUUUAGUUAUGGAAAAAGUGAAGACCUUGGUGGGAAGUUUGUUUCUAUAGAAUGAAAAGCAUGAAUACUAAAUUUAUAAAACUUAGUAGGAAUCACAGCCAGACGCGGUGGCUCAUGCCUGUAAUCCCAGCACUUUGGGAGGCUGAGAUGGGUGGAUCACCUGAGGUUGGGAGCUCGAGACCAGCCUGACCAAUAUGAAGAAACCCCACCUCUACUAAAAAUACAAAAUUAGCUGGGCGUGGUGACGCAUGCCUGCAAUCCCAGCUACUAGGGAGGCAGAGGCAAGAGAAUGGCUUGAACCCAAGAGGCGGAGGUUGUGGUAAGCUGAGACUGCGUCCGUGCACUCCACCGUGGGCAACAAGAACAAAACUCCAUCUCAAAAAAAAAAAAAAAAA
RNAcentral lists this long non-coding RNA (1186 nucleotides) under Macaca mulatta (Rhesus monkey). Its description in RNAcentral is "lncRNA (ENSMMUG00000064810.1)". Lineage: Eukaryota; Metazoa; Chordata; Mammalia; Primates; Cercopithecidae. The record is from RNAcentral.